GAUGAACGCUGGCGGCGUGCCUAAUACAUGCCAGUCGAGCGAACAGACGAGGAGCUUGCUCCUCUGACGUUAGCGGCGGACGGGUGAGUAACACGUGGAUAACCUACCUAUAAGACUGGGAUAACUUCGGGAAACCGGAGCUAAUACCGGAUAAUAUAUUGAACCGCAUGGUUCAAUAGUGAAAGACGGUUUUGCUGUCACUUAUAGAUGGAUCCGCGCCGCAUUAGCUAGUUGGUAAGGUAACAGCUUACCAAGGCAACGAUGCGUAGCCGACCUGAGAGGGUGAUCGGCCACACUGGAACUGAGACACGGUCCAGACUCCUACGGGAGGCAGCAGUAGGGAAUCUUCCGCAAUGGGCGAAAGCCUGACGGAGCAACGCCGCGUGAGUGAUGAAGGUCUUCGGAUCGUAAAACUCUGUUAUUAGGGAAGAACAAAUGUGUAAGUAACUAUGCACGUCUUGACGGUACCUAAUCAGAAAGCCACGGCUAACUACGUG
This 497-nucleotide ribosomal RNA is filed under the name uncultured bacterium. RNAcentral's name for it is "partial 16S ribosomal RNA". It matches the Rfam family "Bacterial small subunit ribosomal RNA", at positions 28 to 507 of the family's 1533-position model. The record is from RNAcentral.